GUCUCAUCUUCACUCUGCUCUGUGUGGUACUGGCGUAGUGUGCCGAGCAAGGCCCACACCCUGCACCAGCGUUCCAGGGGGGCCUGAGAAGGCACGGGGCCGCUGGGAGACCUGGAGAACAUGGUAGCCGGUUUGCCCUAGUGGGAAGGGUCUCAACCGCAAUCUCAAGCUCUACACUGGCUCCAUGCGGGAAACCCUACCCCGGAGGAACUGCAGAAAACUGGGGAGAGCAGGCAUUAGCCACCUGCCUCGGGUCAUUCUUGCGUAACCCCUGGCCUGUGUGACUAAAAUGACGCCCUAGCCUAGGAGAUGGCAAACAGAGCCUGGCUGCACCGAGCCCAGAGGAAGCGGGUCCGGCAACUCUUGCUGAAUGCUGAGGACAGCACCGGAGCGGAGCGGCGACGGGAGCCUGCACCGGCCCGAGUAACUGAGCUUCCUCCUCCCACAACACAGUCACGGAAAUCAGUCCUUUCUGGUUGGAGACAGGGUACCGAGUCCUUUCCUUUGCUGCAAACACUGAGAAAGGAGGACCCAUAGGCUGGACCGUGACAGAGACCGCACAGCCCUGCGGCUGGAUGCAGCUCAGCAGUGAGCGCCUUUCCUCUCUGAGGCCCAGGCCCUGGCUGCAGGGCCGCAGAGCCAGCUGCCGGGUGCCUUCUCCCUUCAAACAAAGAUGGCGGAUCUCGGGUUGGCCUUCAGCUGGGAUAACCUGGAACCUCAUGCCACUACGUACAACGCGCUGCGGUCACAGGUGUGCCCCACCACACUCAACUGUGCUCUUCUCCUAUGCACUCCCACUUCGAAAGACAUGGCCUGUUUAGCGCUAGCAUAGGACACCUCAUGCGAAGACCUCUGCUCCCCGUCAGGACCUCUGCUCCGGUUCCAGAACAGCUGCGGGGCUCAGGCUUACUUCCCUCCUCUUGUUGGGACAGCUUAACUUGGUGGACAGGCAGCGCGAAGCAAGUCUACAAAUUGUGGCACCAGAGUUACUAGGAUUGCGGGCUGGGGCCCAGCCUAAGCUACACAAAAAGAGCCUGCCCUGCACCCUAACACAAACAACGGAAAAAACGGCCCACGCCCAUGGAUUGGCCUCCUUGGCUUCCGUGCCCGGUGUUUGACAGGGACUCGCGGCACACUCGCAGACCUUGGGUUAGGUUGCCCAUGAAGUUGAUGCAAGUGCUGUGCAGGGCCCAAGCUGACCCGGGGGGCAUUCCCACCUCCAAAGGCAGACACACUGUCCUAGGCAGAGGAAGACCAAAGUACAGGUCAUGCUUUUAAGAGGGGAACUGUAAAGCAGACUGUUUCUUCCUGUGCAGUGAGUGUAUUCUCUACAGUGAUGAUCACAGAGAACUGUCAGCCCUGUUAGCUGAGUUUUUGGUUUUUCAAGGCCAGGUUUCUCUGUGGAGCCUUUGCUUUUCUGGGCUCACUUUGUAGACCAGGCUGGCCUUGAACUCACAGCGAUCCACCUGCCUCUGCCUCCCCAAGUGCUGGCACUGGGUGAUGUUCUUUAGUCUUUGGAGAGAUAAUACUUGCAUUUCCUGUUUUUUUUUUUUUUUUUCAUUUUCGGUGAACAGUUGUUUGCCUGCGUGUGCACAUGUGCAAUGUACCAUCUGCAUGUGUUCAGCUAUAGGCUACCUUGGUCAGACUGGAUAUUGUAUGUGUAUUUUUAAGGUUCAAUUACUAGAUGAAGGUCUAUAUGCUAACACAGGAAUGCAGAUCCUGUUUAGUGUUGUCUCGGAACAAGGUCAUACAGUGGCUGGUGUGCUCCAUGUCACAGAGUUUGGAGAACUGAAAUGCAUGCACCAUGCCAUAGAUUCAUAUUCAGAAUUCUAGUGGGCUUUUGCCUUAAAUUCUGGAAAGCAUGAGCCUACGGUUACACAUUUGUUAGAGAUGGUAAAUAUUUUGGAGAUGCUCUUGCAAAUUGGGGAUGAUGGUGCUUCAGCAUGUAUAUCCAUUUGAAUUCAAUAUUUUAGACAUUAUGCCAUGAAACCUGUUAUAGAUAUAACUUAUAAUCCUAUAGGUCAAACAAUUUUGAAAAUAUCUAAGUAAUUUUAAAAAGAUGGUCAUAAAACAGAAGGGAAAUAUAGCUUCCCCAAAUAGAUUAAAUAAUGAUUUAAGAGAUAAAUGAGAUCCCAAAUAGAUUAAAUAAACACUUAAGAGAUAAAUGAGAUAAGUAGCAGAGCUGCUAAGACUCACUGGAAUUUAGAAAGGACUACUGAAUUAGAGCAGCAUGUAAAGGUCCUAAUUCCAAAACGGAGAGCAGGGAAUGUGUUACACUGGGGAAAAGGUAUUACGUAUGUUCAUGCAGGAGAAGAGAAAUUACGGGUUCCAUCAAAAGUAAUAAUCAGAAAUGACAGAGGAAGACCACCAGAAGAUCUUGGCCACAAAUAAAAAGAGAACUCAGGAAGACUAAACAGAACAGGUAACAUAAAUUGAUGAUCUGUUCACAUGGAACAACUGACUGAAACAUUAAAAAAAAAAAAAAAAAAAAAAAAUGCCUCCAGCCAGAACUUCAAUAUUACAUGACCAAAUAAAUUCUUGGCGACAAUAUCCCCAAAUUUUAUUAUGCCAUUCUUUUAUUUGGCAUAGUAAAAUUGGUUUACAGUUUAGUUUCAUCCUGAACAUCUCAUACAUUUAUAAUUUUAGAACUGUAUAAUGCAGAACAAAAGGACCAGACACUGGAGAUGCUGGAUCAAACCUGACAGAAUCUUUCCAGCAUGCUGAGACAUUGACACAUCUGUUCCAGCAUCUUGCAUGUUCCAGCAUUCUGCUUCUUCCUGCCUCAGCUGCCUCAAUUACUGUUUCUCAUCAAAGUCUGCUCCCAAGAGAGCUUUGAAGAAAGCUACUACUCUCAAUUGGUCCAGCAUUUUAGACUGUUCCAAACAGCAAUUCUAUUAACCUGAAAUUUCUCAACAUUCAAAGACUGGACCACAAAUGCUAAUGCUUGCUUAAUUAACCCAUUUUAUCCAAUUUCCUUAGGGUCCCCUAACAGGACUUCUACAUCCAAAAUGUCAGCUAGAAAAAAAAUUAUGAGAAUGACGUCCAAUUUCCUUUGGGGGGGGGGUUGGGUAAGUUUUCGGUUGUUUGCUAUGGCUAUGAAUGUUUACUGUCAUUGGGAGAUAGUUAUCAGUUAUUAGUGGUCUUAUUCAGAGAGAAAAAAAAGGUUAGACUCAGGGAUUUCUCUCUUUUCCUUUCCUCUUUCUUAGAUAAGGAGAAAAGGGAUUGAAAAGAAAAGUGAAUACAGGGAUGUCUUGUAGGAAUAAUACAAAAGGUAGAUUAUUGAAUCUACUCAACUUAAGGCUUUGUUAUUCUCCAAGGUUACUUCCAAUACUUUAAACUACUAUUGCAGACACUAGUUGAAUUUAUCACAGGUUUAUACAUCUUAGGGUUAGCAGAUAGAUAUGAUUUUUGUAGACAGGUCGAUUACAUAAGUAAUCGAUAAGUAAGUCUUCAAAAACCUCAGAGACCUACAGAAGAUGGCAUUUAAAAAAUGUCUUUAUUAUUUUAAAGAUUCUUUGACAAUGAGACAGGUCAUCUCCUGGCAGCACCCCGCCUACCUCAAAGAUGAUGAUGAGCAUCAAAGAACCCACAUAUGGAAAUGGCUUCAAAUGUGGCAAAUGAGCCACUCGGGCAAAAAAGAAAAUGCCCCCAUUUCACAACAAACAGAAUUCUGCCAAAAAAUGGGCAAGCUUAAAUGCAGGACAAGUCAACUGCUGAAUUCUCCCAAGACAGUGUAAGCAAGUCCUAAAUAGUUCCUGCUUCAUUUAUAUGUCAGUCACAUAUCCUGAGCAAUGACACUCCAACAUUAGAGUUUUUGCAUGACUGUUUAGGUGCCUAAACGGUCUGUGUCAAUUUUUUUUUUUUUUUUUUUUUUGGAAACUGCUAACAUGCAUUUCCUGUUUACUCCAGUAACUACUUUUAUUCCUUCUCAAGGUGGGGUUGGAAACCAAAAAGUUAUAGUUCCACAAAUGUUUUCAUAUAGAUACCAAUAAGGAUAAACGUUGUAAGGUAUAGAACUCUAUAAACUUGUCAAGAUAAAAUAGAUAAUAAAAUACUUUCUCCUAAGUUGCCAAAUGCACACGAACUGCACACUGCAUAUAAAUCUUACCCAAUAGUUUCCAUAACUUUUAUAAUUAUUGUAUUGAAAGAAAAGGAGCUGUUUAUCGGACUUAAAGGGGGAAAUGUUGGUAUAACGUUCUUGUGGAAUGUAUACAAUUUAACCUUAAUCAUUCAAAUGCUGAUUUCUCUACCCCACUAUCUGGUUUCAAUCUGGACAUUGCAUUGUGAUGUUUAUUCUAAGCACCACCUGUCUCUCAAGUUUGUAUAAACAUGUUCUCUGUAUUUUCAAAAAUAUAACCAGCCAGUGCUGUGCAAUCGUGAGAAUAGGGUGGGACAUCCUGAUCCUGAGGGGAGGAAGGUAGCAAGCGGGAGGAGUGGGAGAGCUGAGAUCAGCAGGAGAGAACUUAAAACCACCAGGAGGGAUGACCCAGACCUAAGAUAUGACUAAAAUCAAGCAUACUAUGGAAAAUCUGAAUGGAAGGAAAACUAUGCGGGCUUGGAGGUUUGGGAAGGAGUAAUUAUUGCCCAGCAGUGUGCUCUAGGAUAAUUAAGAAAAUCAUAGUCUCUGUAUGGUGAUUUGGGAAUACACCUGGUUUAGAACAGCUGCUGUUUAACUAAAAGAUAAAACUAUAAUAAAUAUUAAUAACCCACGACAGUAAUGGCAAAAGAACCCCAAGUUCAAGGCCAGACAUAGCUACAUGCUGAGUCCAAGGUUGGCCAGGACACAUAAGCCACUAUCUUGAUUAAAACAAAAUAUAGUUAGGAGCCUAGGGCUAGCUUUUUCCCUUUCUGUUCACUGUUCCAUUCUGUUCUCUCUACCCUGAGUCAGCUAUGGAGUGAAGUCUGGUGCACCUAUGACCGAGGGUCAUUAAACACAUUUGAAUUUCUGUUUUUAUAGAAUGCCCCUUGUUUCCUCUAAAUAUGUGAACAGCAGAAUUUAGUUUGUAAUCAAGUGUGCAGGCUACUUCUUCUGAAAUGUGCUAUAAUUAAACAUCUCUGGAGCGGA
Long non-coding RNA from Meriones unguiculatus (Mongolian gerbil), 5065 nucleotides. RefSeq lists it as uncharacterized. Lineage: Eukaryota; Metazoa; Chordata; Mammalia; Rodentia; Muridae. The transcript has 2 exons. The record is from RefSeq and is a predicted model, not a curated record.